Molecule: transfer RNA, 65 nt
Filed under: Drepana pallida
Lineage: Eukaryota; Metazoa; Arthropoda; Insecta; Lepidoptera; Drepanidae
Description: tRNA-Ser
Source: RNAcentral
UAAAAAAAUAUAAAUAAAUAAAGCUGCUCACUUAAUUUCUAGAGAUAAAUAUCAUUAAUAUUUCU